UACGUAGGGUGCAAGCGUUGUCCGGAAUUAUUGGGCGUAAAGGGCUCGUAGGCGGUUUGUCACGUCGGAUGUGAAAGCCCGGGGCUUAACUCCGGGUCUGCAUUCGAUACGGGCAGACUAGAGUGUGGUAGGGGAGAUCGGAAUUCCUGGUGUAGCGGUGAAAUGCGCAGAUAUCAGGAGGAACACCGGUGGCGAAGGCGGAUCUCUGGGCCAUUACUGACGCUGAGGAGCGAAAGCGUGGGGAGCGAACAGG
RNAcentral lists this ribosomal RNA (253 nucleotides) under uncultured bacterium. RNAcentral's name for it is "partial 16S ribosomal RNA". It matches the Rfam family "Bacterial small subunit ribosomal RNA", at positions 524 to 776 of the family's 1533-position model. The record is from RNAcentral.